UAGAACCAUUAAGGGACCCUUACCAAAUU
RNAcentral lists this non-coding RNA (29 nucleotides) under Mus musculus (house mouse). The record is from RNAcentral. Lineage: Eukaryota; Metazoa; Chordata; Mammalia; Rodentia; Muridae.